AUCCAACUGACAAGUCCCAAAUAGGACGAAACGCACGUCGUGGAU
This is a non-coding RNA of Schistosoma haematobium, 45 nucleotides long. The record is from Rfam. Lineage: Eukaryota; Metazoa; Platyhelminthes; Trematoda; Strigeidida; Schistosomatidae.